GGGGGGCUGGCGCAACGGUAGCGCGUUAGAUUCCAGCGGCUUGUUUUCAAGUGAGGCAAUCGUGACUCCUAAAGGUUAUCAGUUCAAAUCUGGUGUCCCUCA
Molecule: non-coding RNA, 102 nt
Organism: Fusarium sp. DS 682
Lineage: Eukaryota; Fungi; Ascomycota; Sordariomycetes; Hypocreales; Nectriaceae
Source: the annotation of a GenBank genome assembly